Molecule: ribosomal RNA, 216 nt
Filed under: uncultured bacterium
Lineage: Bacteria
Description: partial 16S ribosomal RNA
Rfam family: Bacterial small subunit ribosomal RNA
Source: RNAcentral
CGGGUGAGUAAUGCAUAGGAAUCUGCCCUAUAGUGGGGGACAACUCGGAGAAAUCCGAGCUAAUACCGCAUAAUCUCUACGGAGGAAAGCCUUCGGGCGCUAUUGGAUGAGCCUAUGUCUGAUUAGCUUGUUGGUGAGGUAAAAGCUCACCAAGGCGACGAUCAGUAGCUGGUCUGAGAGGACGAUCAGCCACACUGGGACUGAGACACGGCCCAG